RNAcentral lists this ribosomal RNA (514 nucleotides) under Botrytis cinerea. Its description in RNAcentral is "eukaryotic LSU rRNA". The stretch from base 162 to 315 matches the Rfam family "5.8S ribosomal RNA". The record is from RNAcentral. Lineage: Eukaryota; Fungi; Ascomycota; Leotiomycetes; Helotiales; Sclerotiniaceae.
CGGAAGGAUCAUUACAGAGUUCAUGCCCGAAAGGGUAGACCUCCCACCCUUGUGUAUUAUUACUUUGUUGCUUUGGCGAGCUGCCUUCGGGCCUUGUAUGCUCGCCAGAGAAUACCAAAACUCUUUUUAUUAAUGUCGUCUGAGUACUAUAUAAUAGUUAAAACUUUCAACAACGGAUCUCUUGGUUCUGGCAUCGAUGAAGAACGCAGCGAAAUGCGAUAAGUAAUGUGAAUUGCAGAAUUCAGUGAAUCAUCGAAUCUUUGAACGCACAUUGCGCCCCUUGGUAUUCCGGGGGGCAUGCCUGUUCGAGCGUCAUUUCAACCCUCAAGCUUAGCUUGGUAUUGAGUCUAUGUCAGUAAUGGCAGGCUCUAAAAUCAGUGGCGGCGCCGCUGGGUCCUGAACGUAGUAAUAUCUCUCGUUACAGGUUCUCGGUGUGCUUCUGCCAAAACCCAAAUUUUUCUAUGGUUGACCUCGGAUCAGGUAGGGAUACCCGCUGAACUUAAGCAUAUCAAAA